Molecule: unclassified non-coding RNA, 431 nt
Filed under: Hevea brasiliensis (rubber tree)
Lineage: Eukaryota; Viridiplantae; Streptophyta; Magnoliopsida; Malpighiales; Euphorbiaceae
Source: RNAcentral
GGGAGACUCAGGAGUUGAAAAGAUUUCCAACCCUCCAGUCUGAACUGGCAGCAGCCUCUUAUGAGGCUUUGGAAAAAUUCCGCGAAGAAAGUCGUAAGACAGCAGUACGUCUGGUCGACAUGGAGUCUUCUUACCUAACAGUGGAUUUCUUCAGGAAACUCCCUCAGGAGGUGGAGAAGGCUGGGGCUCCUGCUGCGGCUAAUGUUGAUAGAUAUACUGAUGGGCAUUUCAGAAAGAUAGCAUCAAAUGUGUCAUCAUAUAUUGGGAUGGUUUCAGAUACACUGAAACAUACCAUUCCUAAAGCUGUGGUUUAUUGUCAAGUUCGUGAAGCCAAACGCUCAUUGCUCAAUCAUUUCUACACGCUCGUGGGGAGGAAAGAGGGCAAGCAGCUAGCCCAGCUGUUGGAUGAGGAUCCGGCUUUGAUGGAACGU